This is a non-coding RNA of Camelina sativa (false flax), 2296 nucleotides long. NCBI's taxonomy places the organism in Eukaryota, Viridiplantae, Streptophyta, Magnoliopsida, Brassicales, Brassicaceae. The record is from RefSeq and is a predicted model, not a curated record.
AAGACAAAUACGUAGAAGGAAAAUAAUAUAUUUAUUAGUCUGUUAGCAUAUAAGUCUUACCUACUAAAGGUGGUCUCUCUGUCGAUCUUGUGGAGGGUUGGUUUCAGGGAUGGAUCGGAAGUCCAUCUCUGGGUUUGGUUGGGUUCCGACAUUUAUUGCAAGGAUCUGAUUUCCAAAGGAGAUUUGUGGAUUUCAUGGCGUUGGAUUUCACGAAUCGAUCGGAUUUAGAGCUUGAUGGGAUUAGGUUUGGGCGGAUCCGUUUCUGGACAAUACAGAUUCCGUUUGCGAUCUCCUUUAUUUCUCUGGAUUUGAGUUUUUACCGGAUUGAGAUUUCAGUCAUACAAAUCAUGGUGAGGAUCACUCAGUGCUUUAAUUAUGGAAGUUUGAAGGUUAAUUCUUUGAGGUCUAUGGAAAAGAGAAUCUUUGGAGCUUUGAUGAUAAGAUCUGUUUUGGUAUUGUCUGCAAUUCGCAUAUCUUCUAUUUCGUGUAGUGGUGAUAGGGUCGUCGAAGGGGUAUUUAUUCUUUGGUCUGGAUUCUUAUCAGGGACCCGUUACAUAUUUCUUUGUUCUUGGCUUGUCUUUGGUCGAUGCGGUCUGUUCAUUGUUCGGUGCUUCUUUCACAGACGUGUCGUGAAGGGUUUUCCUCUGUUGAGAGUUAUGGCACAACUAGCGCUUAGUAAGAGAAAAGGUUCUAUGGUUCGUACGAACACAGUGAAGAUAUCAAAUUCUGUUUUGGCUCAGAGAAUCCAGCAGUUCUCUAUGACCCUCAUUGGUAGGCUAAUGAAUCCGGCUAGUCAGAGGAUGGAGUCCUUGGUGGCUAAUAUCCCUAAGAUUUGGAAGCUAGAGGAUAAAGUAGUGGAAGCGGAUUUGGAGCAAGGCAUUUUUCAGUUCAAUUUUGAAGAGGAAGGUGAUAUUUAGUCAGUUUUACAGAAUGGUUCGUACCAUUUUGAUGGAUGGAUGGUUUCUUUGGUGUGAUGGGAAAUGAUCAUUUCAUCUUCAUAUCCUUCUGCGAUUAAUUUCUGGGUUAAGGUGGCUGGUAUUCCCAUGCAUUUGUGGGAGGUGGCGACGUUAGAAGCAAUCUGUAAAAAGCUUUGUAAAAUUCAAGAGUUAGAUGAGGAAUCUGGUAGUCUCUGUGUUACGGUCAAUGGUUUUAAUCCUCUGAUCUUUAAGAUGGUGGUACCCUUAGAUACUGGUGAUGAAGUAGUGGUUUCUCUUGAUUAUGAGAGAUUGGUGGGCUUCUGCGAUCAUUGUUCGCGGCUGACUCAUGAGUCCAGAGUAAAGCAUAAUUGUUAGUAAUCAUGGUAUGGAAGAUCAGUCGAAUAAGAGGAAUGAGCAAAGGCAACAAUCUUUGGUUAAGCAAGAAUUGAAUGACAAUGUUGGGGGGUGGGUAAAGCCAAGGAAGCAUGCUAAGAGAGCUUUGGACUUUCAGAAUUUGGAUGUUGGUGAUCGUGGCCAUUUCUCGCAGAAAUGGACUUUCAGAAACGUGCGGGUGAGGCUACUUCUAGUGAGGGUGGUGCUCGUAGAGGUGUUCACUUUGUGAGUGAGGAUCCCUCGGGUCAGGUUUCCACUUUUCAUCUCAACAGGAAGGGUGCUGGGCCAGUUUGGCCUAAGCCUUUGUAUCAGGUCAAACAGAACCUUAUUGUGAUGAAUUCACAGGUGGGCAUUGGUGAUAGUUCGUUGGUUUCAGGGAAUGGUUAUUCUCAAGCGGAUAAGGAAAUGGAGGAUUAUCAAUAUAAGGGGGAUGAUAUGGCUGCUAUGGCUGUGGAUUUUGUGGAAGAAACAGAUGAUCUGCUAUAGGACGGUGAGUUUGAUGAUAAUGUUAAUGGUGGUGCUAAGGUUGUCCAUGGGGAUGAUGCUCUUCCAGAUCAGGGGACUGGUCUCUUGGCUUGUCAGGGGACCGAUCCUCAGGGUGAGGCAGAUGGUAAUCAGCAAGGUAAAGGGAACAGACAGAAGGUGCUGGGGAAACAAGGAAACAAACAGAUGGCUGUUUCAUCGGAUGGUGGUCGUCAAGGCAAGAAAGGGAUGGUGGCGCUCCCGAAACCACCGGCGAAAACGUGAAAAUCCUGAGUUGGAACUGUCAGGGCAUAAGCUGACCUGACAAAAGAUUAUUUGGGAGAUUUGUAAAAUAAGCAUCAUCCAAAUAUCUUAUUUUUUUCGGAAACAAAAAAAUGUUUUACUUAUUUACAACAAUUUCAGAAUAAGUAUGGUUAUAAUAAUUUGUAUAUUGUUGAACCCCGCGCGUGUAGUGGCGGUUUAGCUUUAUUUUUUAUGGAUGAAAUAAAACUUUCAAUUCUAUA